UUUCAAUGUAAAAACAUUUUUACAUCUUGACGUGACUGAAUAUCAAAAAGGCUGUGUCAAAAUGUUCUGUCUUUACAAAGGCGAUGCUUGUCAAAGAUGAGCAAGGAAGCCUACAGGGGAAAAGACACUCAUGUAUUUAACCAAAGUACAUGGGAAAAUGGAAAAACUAAAGUUCGAGAAAGUCCAUCUAUUACUACAGAAUCAGAAUAUGUAAGGGUUAGAACAUACCUAAAGGACCAUUUUGUCUACAUGCUAACCUAAUAUUUUCAUUUUCCAAAUCGCCUGGUUUCCUGCUCUCAAGUAAGUCAGUGACCCUCACCUGUAGUGUCCGUCGGCCCCAAGCUCAGAUCCCCACAUGUCCAGGAUAGAAGGAAUUCCGGUUUGACAACUGGGGAGACAGCCUCAUCACAAAUCCUGCACUAUAGGGAGUAUGGAGAUCUAUUUUAUUCUACUUUGGGGACAACUUUCUAGCACACUGCACAAGAAGCAAAGGAAAUAUUCAAUCAAUACUGGUGUCCAUAGGAAAAGAGCUACUGAAGUCUCGGACAUUGAUAUCCUGUUUAGAGAGUUGGUGACAGAGGGUGGUGUUUGAAGAAACCGUGAAAGAGCUAUCAAAUAACUUGGUGUCGGGGCCUG
RNAcentral lists this long non-coding RNA (636 nucleotides) under Pan troglodytes (chimpanzee). Its description in RNAcentral is "long non-coding RNA NONPTRT015200". The record is from RNAcentral. Lineage: Eukaryota; Metazoa; Chordata; Mammalia; Primates; Hominidae.